RNAcentral lists this ribosomal RNA (241 nucleotides) under uncultured bacterium. Its description in RNAcentral is "partial 16S ribosomal RNA". It matches the Rfam family "Bacterial small subunit ribosomal RNA", at positions 91 to 334 of the family's 1533-position model. The record is from RNAcentral.
CCUAGCGGCGAACGGGUGAGUAACACGUGGGCAACCUGCCCCUAGCACUGGGAUAACUCCGGGAAACCGGGGCUAAUACCGGAUAUGACCUCGGAGGGCAUCCUCCCUGGUGUAAAGGAUUCUGGCUAGGGAUGGGCCCGCGGCCUAUCAGCUUGUUGGUGGGGUAAUGGCCUACCAAGGCGACGACGGGUAGCCGGCCUGAGAGGGCGACCGGCCACACUGGGACUGAGACACGGCCCAG